Molecule: ribosomal RNA, 468 nt
Filed under: uncultured bacterium
Lineage: Bacteria
Description: partial 16S ribosomal RNA
Rfam family: Bacterial small subunit ribosomal RNA
Source: RNAcentral
GACGAACGCUGGCGGCGUGCUUAACACAUGCAAGUCGAACGGAAAGGCCCUGCUUUUGUGGGGUGCUCGAGUGGCGAACGGGUGAGUAACACGUGAGUAACCUGCCCUUGACUUUGGGAUAACUUCAGGAAACUGGGGCUAAUACCGGAUAGGAGCUCCUGCUGCAUGGUGGGGGUUGGAAAGUUUCGGCGGUUGGGGAUGGACUCGCGGCUUAUCAGCUUGUUGGUGGGGUAGUGGCUUACCAAGGCUUUGACGGGUAGCCGGCCUGAGAGGGUGACCGGCCACAUGGGGACUGAGAUACGGCCCAGACUCCUACGGGAGGCAGCAGUGGGGAAUAUUGCACAAUGGGCGGAAGCCUGAUGCAGCAACGCCGCGUGCGGGAUGACGGCCUUCGGGUUGUAAACCGCUUUCGCUUGUGACGAAGCGUGAGUGACGGUAAUGGGUAAAGAAGCACCGGCUAACUACGUG